AAUUGGAUGGUAUCACACUGCAGAUCCGAGCAAUGAUUGAACCUGGUGAUAUUCUGAACAAAAAGAGCUCUCUGCCAUGCUUGUAGCUGUUCCUAUCCCUUCAUACUGACUAAACAGUUUUCAGAGUGACACACAGACAGGAGACAAUCCUGGAAGCUUAUUAUAGAGAGUACAGCCAUUUAUUUGGUGCAUCUAGAUGGGCAGAGCCAAAUUUCUACUUGCAAAAUUGGCUCAGACACCAGAAAAUGGAUCUGGGUCCAGCCAAGUGAAUAUCCCCAAGGUCUAGAGAUUUGGUUACUUGGGACCCAGCAGUGAUAGUGCCUUGCUGAGAAUAACAUUCUGAAUGCCAGGUCUCCACAAGCCCAGCAGGGCCCUUGAUAUAUUCUUUUCACUUUUGACAUUGUCAGUGGCUGUGAAGAUUCUAGAACUGGGAACUUAGCUGGCAGAUGUGAGAGGCAGAAAAAGGCCGCGCAGCUUUGUUGCUCUGUACUGUGAAAGAAACACUGAGAGGAGGACUUCUUCCAGAAUUGAAACUUCAGCUGUGAUUAUGUGGCAAACAGAAGGUGACAUAUACGUCUAAUUACCAGUCUUCCAUUCAUCCUAGCACUGGGCGGUGGCAGCAGCAGCAGAAACAGAGGAGUCAUGACAACUGAUUGCUCCUGAAGGAAUUUGGGUUUGUCAGAGGACAGAAGAUAUCCCCAUAAAACACAAGUGCUUGAAAAAGCAAUUCGACCACCAAUACUGAAUGAGAUGGACAAUAACUGCAAAUGGUUGGAAACCAGCUUUCCAUAGGGCGGAAGAUAUUCAUCUGCAUGCAUGACCAUUGUGGGGCAGAUCCUCACCUGGUGUAAAUCAACAUUGCUCCACUGAGUUAGGUUGAUUUAUGUCAGCUGAGGGUCUUGCCAAUGUAUUGGGCCUACAAAUAAAUAAAUGCCCACACAAAUAGCUAAUUAAGGUCACAGUGAGCUUUUUACAUGAAAGGUGGGAUUUUCAAGAACACCUAAAUAAUUUAGGAGCACAAAUCCCACUGAUUUUCAAUGGGGGUUGUGUUUCUAAGGCGCUUAGACAAUUAUGAAUACCCCAUUCUAAGUCAAUUUGCAUGUACAGUAUAUCACAAUAACUGUGC
Mauremys reevesii (Reeves's turtle) is the source of this 1126-nucleotide long non-coding RNA. RefSeq lists it as uncharacterized. Lineage: Eukaryota; Metazoa; Chordata; Testudines; Geoemydidae. The record is from RefSeq and is a predicted model, not a curated record. The transcript is spliced from 3 exons.